This 253-nucleotide ribosomal RNA is filed under the name uncultured bacterium. RNAcentral's name for it is "partial 16S ribosomal RNA". It matches the Rfam family "Bacterial small subunit ribosomal RNA", at positions 524 to 776 of the family's 1533-position model. The record is from RNAcentral.
UACAGAGGUCUCAAGCGUUGUUCGGAUUCAUUGGGCGUAAAGGGUGCGUAGGUGGCGGGGCUAGUCAGGUGUGAAAUCUCGGGGCUCAACCCCGAAACUGCACUUGAUACUGCCUUGCUAGAGUGCUGGAGAGGAGAUUGGAAUUUACGGUGUAGCAGUGAAAUGCGUAGAUAUCGUAAGGAAGACCAGUGGCGAAGGCGAAUCUCUGGACAGUUACUGACACUGAGGCACGAAGGCCAGGGGAGCAAACGGG